Small nuclear RNA from Heterocephalus glaber (naked mole-rat), 111 nucleotides. The record is from Ensembl. NCBI's taxonomy places the organism in Eukaryota, Metazoa, Chordata, Mammalia, Rodentia, Bathyergidae.
GUGCUCGCUUCGGCAGCAUAUAUACUAAAACUUGGAAUGUUCUCUGUAUCAUGGCUAGCAUGGCCCCUGCGCAAGGAUGACACGCAAAUUCGUGAAGCCUUCCAUAUUUUU